RNAcentral lists this long non-coding RNA (526 nucleotides) under Rattus norvegicus (Norway rat). RNAcentral describes it as "long non-coding RNA NONRATT019390". The record is from RNAcentral. Lineage: Eukaryota; Metazoa; Chordata; Mammalia; Rodentia; Muridae.
UAACAUUUGACACUGACUGAUGUUGUCUUAGAACUUAGACAUUUCUACCUUUUGACAUCUGGACCUAGUGGGGCCCAGAUACACACACACUUUUACGCAGGAUAAUUUAAGGAUAUUUCUUUUUCUAUAUAUAGGCUAGUAUAUAGAUUUUAAACUUGGGUUCUUACCUCAAAGCAAAACAGGAAAGGAAUGGUUCCUGUGCUUUUAUUAAGAUGUUCCAAUGUGUGUUUUAUGAAUUAUAAGCUGUUUCCUAAAACUGAAACUGGCUAUUCAUGUUUUACUGUCCAUUAGCAAGACUUCCAAAGGCUUUGCUCACCUUCUAAUAAGGGGAGCAUUUUUUUAAAAGUUGAAAUGGUUUGCUUUAUAAAAACAAUCUUUCAAAAGAAAUCGAAUAUACUUGGAAUAAAGUUAUUCUCAGCUCUGUAUUCAUAUAGCUACAGUGUAUGGUUUUUCAGAGUAGAAUACUUUGAGUCCUGUAAUUGAAAUUGAGUAUGAACUGGAAUAAAAUUGAUAUUCUUGAGACCUA